UACGAAGGGGGCUAGCGUUGUUCGGAAUUACUGGGCGUAAAGGGCUUGUAGGUGGCCAACUAAGUCAGACGUGAAAUCCCUCGGCUUAACCGGGGAACUGCGUCUGAUACUGGAUGGCUCGAGUUUGGGAGAGGGAUGCGGAAUUCCAGGUGUAGCGGUGAAAUGCGUAGAUAUCUGGAGGAACACCGGUGGCGAAGGCGGCAUCCUGGACCAACACUGACACUGAAAAGCGAAAGCCAGGGGAGCAAACGGG
RNAcentral lists this ribosomal RNA (253 nucleotides) under uncultured bacterium. RNAcentral's name for it is "partial 16S ribosomal RNA". It matches the Rfam family "Bacterial small subunit ribosomal RNA", at positions 524 to 776 of the family's 1533-position model. The record is from RNAcentral.